This 663-nucleotide long non-coding RNA is filed under the name Manihot esculenta (cassava). RNAcentral's name for it is "long non-coding RNA (MESC_LNC000248)". The record is from RNAcentral. Lineage: Eukaryota; Viridiplantae; Streptophyta; Magnoliopsida; Malpighiales; Euphorbiaceae.
AGGAACCCUAGAGAGCAGCAGUGAGUAUAGGGUCAGAACCUGCAGAGUUAGCACAGAGUCAGCCAGAGGUGAGUGGAACUUACUUUAAUGUUUUAAUAUGAGAAAUGAACAUUUUAUCAUGUUUCAUGCAUCAUGACUAUGCUAUAGGCUGAGUGCAUUAGUGUACACGAAGAUGAUGCAUUGCAUUUAUCCUUGAUUCUAUGACUGUAUGGACAUAGUAAGGAUUCAAUAGCCCUCAGAGGAAAGACCUGGAACAGCCCUACGGGGACCAGGCAUAAAGACCUGGAACAGCCCUACGGGGACCAGGCACAAAGACCUAGAACAGCCCUACGGGGACCAGGCAUAUGGUAUAGAGGGAGUGUUGAUCCGUCCAUGCUGAGAUGUGAUUACUUGUGAUGUGAUACAUUGCAUGAGAGCAUGUUUUAUCACCUGUGCUUUAUUACUGUUCUACUCACUGGGCUAUAGUAGCUCAUCCCUCUCCCCUAACUCUAGUUGUGCAGGUUCAGAGGUCAGAGGUUAGCAGGGUACAGGAAGAGUAUUUUGUAAUAGCUAGUGUGGACAUGUAAAUGUAAAGAGAUAAUGUAUGUGUACAGUGUAUAGAAUGGUGCUUGAUUAUAAGAGUUGUAAUCCCUUUUUGUGUUUUCACAUGAUCAGUGUAUGGUG